UUAAGUUAGAAAGGGCGCACGGUGAAUGCCUUGGCACUAGGAGCCGAUGAAGGACGGGACUAACACCGAUAUGCUUCGGGGAGCUGUAAGUGAGCUUUGAUCCGGAGAUUUCCGAAUGGGGAAACCCACUGUUCGUAAUGGAACAGUAUCUUUAUCUGAAUACAUAGGAUAUUGAAGGCAGACCCGGGGAACUGAAACAUCUAAGUACCCGGAGGAAGAGAAAGCAAAUGCGAUUUCCUGAGUAGCGGCGAGCGAAACGGAAUUAGCCCAAACCAAGAGGCUUGCCUCUUGGGGUUGUAGGACACUCUAUACGGAGUUACAAAGGAACGAAGUAAAUGAAGCGACCUGGAAAGGUCCGUCGAAGAAGGUAACAACCCUGUAGUUGAAACUUCGUUCCCUCUUGAGUGGAUCCUGAGUACGGCGGAACACGUGAAAUUCCGUCGGAAGCUGGGAGGACCAUCUCCCAAGGCUAAAUACUACCUAGUGACCGAUAGUGAACCAGUACCGUGAGGGAAAGGUGAAAAGCACCCCGGAAGGGGAGUGAAAGAGAUCCUGAAACCGUGUGCCUACAAGUAGUCAGAGCCCGUUAACGGGUGAUGGCGUGCCUUUUGUAGAAUGAACCGGCGAGUUACGAUCCCAUGCAAGGUUAAGCUGAUAAGGCGGAGCCGUAGCGAAAGCGAGUCUGAAUAGGGCGUUUAGUAUGUGGUUGUAGACCCGAAACCAGGUGAUCUACCCAUGUCCAGGGUGAAGUUCAGGUAACACUGAAUGGAGGCCCGAACCCACGCACGUUGAAAAGUGCGGGGAUGAGGUGUGGGUAGCGGAGAAAUUCCAAUCGAACCUGGAGAUAGCUGGUUCUCUCCGAAAUAGCUUUAGGGCUAGCCUCAUGUUGUGAGAGUCUUGGAGGUAGAGCACUGAUUGGACUAGGGGCCCCCAACGGGUUACCGAAUUCAGUCAAACUCCGAAUGCCAAAGACUUAUCCAUGGGAGUCAGACUGCGAGUGAUAAGAUCCGUAGUCAAAAGGGAAACAGCCCAGACCACCAGCUAAGGUCCCCAAGUAUACGUUAAGUGGAAAAGGAUGUGGAGUUGCUUAGACAACCAGGAUGUUGGCUUAGAAGCAGCCACCAUUUAAAGAGUGCGUAAUAGCUCACUGGUCGAGUGACUCUGCGCCGAAAAUGUACCGGGGCUAAACGUAUCACCGAAGCUGUGGAUUGACAUCUUAGAUGUCAGUGGUAGGAGAGCGUUCUAAGUGCUGUGAAGUCAGACCGUAAGGACUGGUGGAGCGCUUAGAAGUGAGAAUGCCGGUAUGAGUAGCGAAAGACAAGUGAGAAUCUUGUCCACCGAAUGCCUAAGGUUUCCUGAGGAAGGCUCGUCCGCUCAGGGUUAGUCGGGACCUAAGCCGAGGCUGAAAAGCGUAGGCGAUGGCCAACAGGUUGAUAUUCCUGUACCACCUCCCCGCCGUUUGAGUAAUGGGGGGACGCAGUAGGAUAGGGUAAGCGCGCUGCUGGAUAUGCGCGUUCAAGCAGUUAGGCUGAUGAGUAGGCAAAUCCGCUCAUCAUAAAGGCUGAGCUGUGAUGACGAGGGAAUUAUAGUACCGAAGUUCCUGAUUCCACACUGCCAAGAAAAGCCUCUAGCGAGGCGGGAGGUGCCCGUACCGCAAACCGACACAGGUAGGCGAGGAGAGAAUCCUAAGGUGAUCGAGAGAACUCUCGUUAAGGAACUCGGCAAAAUGACCCCGUAACUUCGGGAGAAGGGGUGCUCUGGUAGGGUGUAUAGCCCGAGAGAGCCGCAGUGAAUAGGCCCAGGCGACUGUUUAGCAAAAACACAGGUCUCUGCGAAGCCGCAAGGCGAAGUAUAGGGGCUGACGCCUGCCCGGUGCUGGAAGGUUAAGAGGAGGGGUUAUCCUUUGGGAGAAGCUCUGAAUCGAAGCCCCAGUAAACGGCGGCCGUAACUAUAACGGUCCUAAGGUAGCGAAAUUCCUUGUCGGGUAAGUUCCGACCCGCACGAAAGGCGUAACGAUCUGGGCACUGUCUCAACGAGAGACUCGGUGAAAUUAUAGUACCUGUGAAGAUGCAGGUUACCCGCGACAGGACGGAAAGACCCCGUGGAGCUUUACUGUAGCCUGAUAUUGAAUUUUGGUACAGCUUGUACAGGAUAGGUAGGAGCCUGAGAAGCCGGAGCGCUAGCUUCGGUGGAGGCGUCGGUGGGAUACUACCCUGGCUGUAUUGAAAUUCUAACCCGCGGCCCUGAUCGGGCCGGGAGACAGUGUCAGGUGGGCAGUUUGACUGGGGCGGUCGCCUCCUAAAAUGUAACGGAGGCGCCCAAAGGUUCCCUCAGAAUGGUUGGAAAUCAUUCGUAGAGUGUAAAGGCACAAGGGAGCUUGACUGCGAGACCUACAAGUCGAGCAGGGACGAAAGUCGGGCUUAGUGAUCCGGUGGUUCCGCAUGGAAGGGCCAUCGCUCAACGGAUAAAAGCUACCCCGGGGAUAACAGGCUUAUCUCCCCCAAGAGUCCACAUCGACGGGGAGGUUUGGCACCUCGAUGUCGGCUCAUCGCAUCCUGGGGCUGUAGUCGGUCCCAAGGGUUGGGCUGUUCGCCCAUUAAAGCGGUACGCGAGCUGGGUUCAGAACGUCGUGAGACAGUUCGGUCCCUAUCCGUCGUGGGCGUAGGAAAUUUGAGAGGAGCUGUCCUUAGUACGAGAGGACCGGGAUGGACACACCGCUGGUGUACCAGUUGUCUUGCCAAAGGCAUCGCUGGGUAGCUAUGUGUGGACGGGAUAAGUGCUGAAAGCAUCUAAGCAUGAAGCCCCCCUCAAGAUGAGAUUUCCCAUAGCGCAAGCUAGUAAGAUCCCUGAAAGAUGAUCAGGUUGAUAGGUCAGAGGUGGAAGCGUGGCGACAUGUGUAGCUGACUGAUACUAAUCGAUCGAGGACUUAACCAA
Molecule: ribosomal RNA, 2934 nt
Filed under: Priestia megaterium QM B1551
Lineage: Bacteria; Bacillati; Bacillota; Bacilli; Caryophanales; Bacillaceae
Description: bacterial LSU rRNA
Rfam family: Bacterial large subunit ribosomal RNA
Source: RNAcentral